GUGCCUGAUAGUACAAUGCGCAAAUGGAAAGAGGCAUGGAGUAGGCCAGAUUUCAAAGCUAGGAGUGAACAAUUCACUGCUAACUGCCGUAGUGAGACAGGAGGAGUCAGAGCAGGCAUUUCACGCUAUACAAGGGACUCGCUAUCACACGCUUCGCAUGCAAAAAGAAAUCUCAACUUGGCCAAGCAUCUCUCCCUUAUGAGCUUUUUGAGGCAACCUAUACUGGGAAGGGUACCUCUGAUCUAGUUGAUGUAAGAGCACAGUCGAUUAAGAUUACGUAGGAUACAUUUAUGGCCCUUAAGGAGCAGUCCUCGUCUCAUCAACACGAGGGAAGCACUGACCCUCCUACAGUGGAUGAGGCUACACUAUACUAUCAAGUUGCAGGUGGUGAGAAAAAGCAUUGAGUGUAUGGAGUUGAAUCCCAAGCUUCUGCUUUCUACUCUCAAUCAUCUCAUGCAUAAUAUUCUACUACUUCACAGAAUAUGUAGUUCGAUGCACUACAGACUGAGCUUCACUAGGUUCACCAAACCGUUGAGACACUCCAACACGGAAAUCAAUAGCUAAGGGGCAAUUUGGCUACUAUGGAGCAAAGAGACCAUAUAUGCGAGUAACAAAUGCAGCAAAUGCAAGAUAUGGUAUUGCAGAUGCUUUAAGGGACACAUUCUUUUUCCCUAGCUUU
This 679-nucleotide unclassified non-coding RNA is filed under the name Hevea brasiliensis (rubber tree). Lineage: Eukaryota; Viridiplantae; Streptophyta; Magnoliopsida; Malpighiales; Euphorbiaceae. The record is from RNAcentral.